AACAACUUUGAAUGGAGUCGUUCGAAAAGAAGUUUCUAUGGCCCCCUUGCUCAUUUAACACUGCAUCCGGGUGCCGAUGGAGAUACAGCGACCCUUGCUCACUUAUCACUGUGCUCGGGCCACACAACGUGCCACUUACGGAUGACGCCUUAGCUUUAGCGCGAUUUCGUUCUGUAUUCAUUUUCAUAAGGAUUCGACGUAAUCAUGGAGUGCCGGCUGUCGACUACCUGACGCCCUCCCCCUCCUCCUUUAUCCGGGCUUGGGACCGGCAAUGUAAGAUAAACUUACACAGGCAGAGUUUGGCUUUUAGAGUAUCCACUUGACAAUUUUUGUUUCAUUUAUGUUGUGUAUACGGUGGAUCUCCCUACGGGGCUCAAGAAAGUAAGCUAAGGAGAGGGGUGGAUAUUGUUAUUGGAACGCCUAGCCGUAUACAGGUAUUGACUAUUUCUCAUUAUAGCUGAGUUCUUGUGUCAGUUCGAUACUAUGCAAUAUACUUAUGAAGCUAAAUAAAUUUUUGGAAAUAUGUAGGAUCAUAUAGAGAGGAGCAAUAUUGACUCGAGUACCGUGAAAGUUAGGAUCCUUGACGAAGCUGAUGAAAUGCUGUGGAUGGGCUUUGUUGAUGAUAUUGAACUCAUUCUAGGUGAAGGAUGUUAGAAAAGUUCAAACGCUUCUCUUCAGUGCAACCUUGCCAAGUUGGCUGAAAGGUAUUUCUUUUAGGUUUCUCAAACCAGAUAAGAAAACUGUAGAUCUUGUUGGUAAUGAAAAAAUGAAGGCCAG
Non-coding RNA from Malus domestica (apple), 777 nucleotides. NCBI's taxonomy places the organism in Eukaryota, Viridiplantae, Streptophyta, Magnoliopsida, Rosales, Rosaceae. The record is from RefSeq and is a predicted model, not a curated record.